RNAcentral lists this ribosomal RNA (661 nucleotides) under Agreia sp. 741-164. RNAcentral describes it as "bacterial SSU rRNA". It matches the Rfam family "Bacterial small subunit ribosomal RNA", at positions 812 to 1467 of the family's 1533-position model. The record is from RNAcentral. Lineage: Bacteria; Bacillati; Actinomycetota; Actinomycetes; Micrococcales; Microbacteriaceae.
GGAACUAGAUGUGGGGGCCAUUCCACGGUCUCCGUGUCGCAGCUAACGCAUUAAGUUCCCCGCCUGGGGAGUACGGCCGCAAGGCUAAAACUCAAAGGAAUUGACGGGGGCCCGCACAAGCGGCGGAGCAUGCGGAUUAAUUCGAUGCAACGCGAAGAACCUUACCAAGGCUUGACAUAUACGAGAACGGGCCAGAAAUGGUCAACUCUUUGGACACUCGUAAACAGGUGGUGCAUGGUUGUCGUCAGCUCGUGUCGUGAGAUGUUGGGUUAAGUCCCGCAACGAGCGCAACCCUCGUUCUAUGUUGCCAGCACGUCAUGGUGGGAACUCAUAGGAGACUGCCGGGGUCAACUCGGAGGAAGGUGGGGAUGACGUCAAAUCAUCAUGCCCCUUAUGUCUUGGGCUUCACGCAUGCUACAAUGGCCGGUACAAAGGGCUGCAAUACCGUAAGGUGGAGCGAAUCCCAAAAAGCCGGUCUCAGUUCGGAUUGAGGUCUGCAACUCGACCUCAUGAAGUCGGAGUCGCUAGUAAUCGUGAAUCAGCAACGUCACGGUGAAUACGUUCCCGGGCCUUGUACACACCGCCCGUCAAGUCAUGAAAGUCGGUAACACCCAACGCCAGUGGCCUAACCCCUUGUGGGAGGGAGCUGUCUAAGGUGGGA